GGGAACUCUAGUCAGCCAUCUUGCUGAUGUUCUAAAUUCUAUUUUUAAAAGAUCACUCUGGCUGUUGUAAGGAGAACUGCUUGGGAUGUGGUGAGGGGCAGGAAUGUCACCAAGAUCAGCUGGAGACUGUUGAAAGUCCUCCAGGAGGGAGAAUCAUGGCUUGACUCAGGACCUUCUGAUAGAGAUUAUGAAACUGAUCAUAUAUGGGAUAUCUUUUGAAGGUAGAACCAAUUGGAUUUGCUAAGGGCAGUACACGGAGGAG
This 262-nucleotide long non-coding RNA is filed under the name Homo sapiens (human). RNAcentral's name for it is "LHRI_LNC1920.1". The record is from RNAcentral. Lineage: Eukaryota; Metazoa; Chordata; Mammalia; Primates; Hominidae.